Molecule: long non-coding RNA, 416 nt
Filed under: Nicotiana benthamiana
Lineage: Eukaryota; Viridiplantae; Streptophyta; Magnoliopsida; Solanales; Solanaceae
Description: long non-coding RNA (NBEN_LNC014409)
Source: RNAcentral
CUAGUCUGUCUGGCCAUAGGACAGACUGUACAGGGAAAGGGUUGUUUGGAAGAAAAUUGAAAAGAGAGACCAGAAAUGCAUUUCAUAUUUGCAAAAGGAGUAUGUGCAAGUCUCAGGUGCCAAAUUUAAUUCAUAUCAGAUGUAAAAUCAUUAUUACAGAUGGAACUAUUUACAUGUGAAGGCAAUGAAACAGCCUUGUUAUCAGACAAGAUGUCAUCACUACAAGAAACAGACACAGAAGGCAAUGCAACAACUUUGCUAUCAUUACAAGAAGCAGAUACAGGACAAACAGAAGUAGAAGAACAAUUAACAGAGAGAGAAGGGGAAGAAGGAACCCAAGCUAGUUUAUACAGGCCAGCAGCUUCUCUACCAAGAUCCAGUGGCCUCCUCAGAGAAGGGUCCUGUAUCAUGUGUAG